UAGAAGAUAGUUUAGUCGAAAAUUCUGGCUUUGGGAGUCAGUGAUGGAAAAUAAAUUCCUCUUUUAA
This 67-nucleotide transfer RNA is filed under the name Trioceros melleri (Meller's chameleon). RNAcentral's name for it is "tRNA-Pro". It matches the Rfam family "tRNA". From Rfam's summary of the family: Transfer RNA (tRNA) molecules are approximately 80 nucleotides in length. Lineage: Eukaryota; Metazoa; Chordata; Lepidosauria; Squamata; Chamaeleonidae. The record is from RNAcentral.